Non-coding RNA from Caerostris darwini, 103 nucleotides. The record is from the annotation of a GenBank genome assembly. NCBI's taxonomy places the organism in Eukaryota, Metazoa, Arthropoda, Arachnida, Araneae, Araneidae.
AUGGCCAUACCAUGCUGAAUAUACCGGUUCUCGUUAGAUCACCGAAGUCAAGCAUCAUUGGGCGUGGUCAGUACUUGGGUGGGUGACCACCUGGGAACACCGC